AUGCGUUCCAUUAGAUAGUAGGCGGGGUAACGGCCCACCUAGUCAACGAUGGAUAGGGGUUCUGAGAGGAAGGUCCCCCACAUUGGAACUGAGACACGGUCCAAACUCCUACGGGAGGCAGCAGUGAGGAAUAUUGGUCAAUGGGCGAUGGCCUGAACCAGCCAAGUAGCGUGAAGGAUGACUGCCCUAUGGGUUGUAAACUUCUUUUAUAAAGGAAUAAAGUCGGGUAUGCAUACCCGUUUGCAUGUACUUUAUGAAUAAGGAUCGGCUAACUCCGUGCCAGCAGCCGCGGUAAUACGGAGGAUCCGAGCGUUAUCCGGAUUUAUUGGGUUUAAAGGGAGCGUAGAUGGAUGUUUAAGUCAGUUGUGAAAGUUUGCGGCUCAACCGUAAAAUUGCAGUUGAUACUGGAUGUCUUGAGUGCAGUUGAGGCAGGCGGAAUUCGUGGUGUAGCGGUGAAAUGCUUAGAUAUCACGAAG
RNAcentral lists this ribosomal RNA (476 nucleotides) under uncultured Bacteroidales bacterium. Its description in RNAcentral is "bacterial SSU rRNA". It matches the Rfam family "Bacterial small subunit ribosomal RNA", at positions 231 to 704 of the family's 1533-position model. The record is from RNAcentral. Lineage: Bacteria; Pseudomonadati; Bacteroidota; Bacteroidia; Bacteroidales.